Long non-coding RNA from Xiphophorus maculatus (southern platyfish), 722 nucleotides. RefSeq lists it as uncharacterized. The transcript is spliced from 3 exons. The record is from RefSeq and is a predicted model, not a curated record. Lineage: Eukaryota; Metazoa; Chordata; Actinopteri; Cyprinodontiformes; Poeciliidae.
GUCGAAAGGAAUCUGAGUUUGUCCGUUUGUUUGGAGUAAGCACUGAGCUCCUCUGGGUCUUUGAACUGCUCAGACUUGCUGGUGUGGUUCACUGUGUCAAACCAUCCGACAAUUUGAAAAACCUGUUCACCCCGUCGUCUGUGGUGGCGCUGCACCAAGAACUACUGAAGGAAAUGACACAAAAACAUCUGAAGAGGACACUGAGCGCAGCUUCCUUCUUCACAAACUAUAGUCAAAAUAGAGUGGCAUUAGAUUCUAGCAGUUGAAGGAUUUCUCUUUUCUCUUUGGUAAAAAGACCACAAGUUAUUUGUCCUGUUAGCGUUCUACCCUCAUGUUUGUUUAGGCUGUUUUUACCCAGAAUGCACAAUAAAUUAAAAUUUGCUUUGGUGUGGUUUUAAGCAUAUCGAAGCGACUCCAUCAGUAAAAUUGGACUGAUUUUAUAAUGGCCAAUGUAUAUUUCCAUCUUGCUGCCAUGUGACCGUGAUGCAGCAGUAGGCUGCUUAUUGAUUGCUAAAAUUAAUCAUAUUGAGUCACUCAAUAGUAGUUGUAAUCACCAUGUUCAAGCUUACCUUUUAGUGCUUUUACUAAUCUGGGAAAGAUUUUUGAGUUUUCAGUCAGUCACCAGUCACGGAUGAUAGAAAUAAAAUUGUCUAAUUUUGCUCGCCAGUCAGUUUCUCUGUAUGUCUCUUGUGAUUCUCUCAUAGAAAUCGGUGUAGUUUUGG